Long non-coding RNA from Ictalurus punctatus (channel catfish), 4890 nucleotides. RefSeq lists it as uncharacterized. The transcript is spliced from 3 exons. NCBI's taxonomy places the organism in Eukaryota, Metazoa, Chordata, Actinopteri, Siluriformes, Ictaluridae. The record is from RefSeq and is a predicted model, not a curated record.
CAAGAAUGAUCAUUUUUCUCUGGGAAUAUAUCCAUGGAUCCUCCUACAAAUCUCCAUGUUUUGGCAUAAACGCCCGACUUUUUAAAUCCUAGAAAUGCCCCUGUAUCACAUUACACCCCCACUCACACGCUGCCUGUGUCUUGAGGCAACGUAUUCACUUUUAUUGAGGUUCAGAACGCCUGUAAAGUUUUAUUGGGAUCCAAUUAUUUGAUAUAUUCCAUCCUUGUGGUGGUGUUGCAGGUAAUUUAUUUGUCUUUUGCUUGUUUAGAGAUUUUUUUUUUUGGGUCGCUGUGUGGUUGGGAGCAAGAACAGAAGAGAAGAGAAAUGAAGGCCCUUGUAAAAUUCCAGCAGGAAACUCUUUCAAAAGAAACUAAGAUCUUUGCUUCCAUCCUGCACUGAAUUGACAGGCUUUGUUUAAAACAGGGCAUCAGGGCCAGUUGUGAUUGCUGGAGUGGUAGAGUGAUUGCUGAAGUGGCUUCCCAGAGCUCUACUGAGCUUCAAAUGGAUCACAUCAUGCUUAUAGUAUUAUCAUCAUAUAUUUCCUUUACUUUUAUUUUUUCAUGAAAAAGUACUUUUGUCUAGGAAGCGUACUUCAUUGGGUGUGUGUUUAAUGCUUUAACCCCCUGCUGAAUCUGUCUAGGUGCUGUUUAGUCUAUUACAAUGUGAGAUAUAAUGUAAUAUACAAUAUAAUAUGCGUAUACAGAUGUAAUAUGCGUAUACAGAUACGUAUACAGUUUUGCCAGAUCACUGCAGAGUUUCUUGGUCAGAGUGAAGUUUACAGGUAACAAUUAGACUGUAUACAACAUUUAAUUUCUGUAUAUGAGGAGCAAUAAGUUCAUCCUGUUUCACGGUUCGAGCCCUCUAGACAUUUAAAAAUCCAAGAGCAAAGAACUAAACUCUAAACACCUUGAAGUCAUUAGGUCAAUUAUAUGUAAAUAAUAAAAGGUGGUGUUGUCUGUUUUUUGUUUUUCUGUGCUUUUUCAAUCAACAAUACUUUUGCAUUUGCUCAGACAUGUUAAUAAAUCUGUCUUUUUCUUCUUGGUUGCAUAACAUGACUUCUGCAAUUCCUUUUUUCCAUUCUUUUUUUGUUUGUUUCAUUUUAUAACACUGACUACUUUGCUCUCUUUGUCCUUUUUUACUUUAAAUCAAAACCACCUUUUAACAAAGACCACCAGUAAUGGAAAAAUUAUCAAUAUUAGUAUAAAAAGUGUCUAUACAACAAUCAGCUAUAACAUUAAAACUAUGUUCCUAAUAUUGUGUAGGUCCCUGACUGGCACUCUGACCAGUCUGCAGCUAUGCAUUAACUUUUUUCACUUAUUUUUGCUACAGUAGCUCUUCUGUGGGACCACACCAGACAGGCUAGCCUUCCAGAUGCGCAUCUGAGCCUUGGGUGCUUGUGACCCAGUCAUUGUCCUACCUCAGACCACUUUGGAAUUUUUCGAACAUGCUGCCAACAGGAAAAGGGCAUGAGACCUGUCGUUUCUUAUUGCUUCAGGAGACUCAGAACACAAUCUGACAAGCAUGUCAGGCCAAUCACCUCAGUGCCGGUAUCUCCGACUUUCCUGCUACUGCAUCCCUAUACUCCACUUCAUCCCAGAGGGGAAAAACAGAGAGAUGACAAACACAUUCUCCUCUCCUCAGUACUAUUACCCCAACUUAACUCAAUCUGGCCCUAUGAUUUCCCACUGCCUCCAGAUCAAAUCUCAUUUCCUCGAUUAAUUAUGUAAACUAACUGAAAGAUUAUUCUUCUUUUCUUCUGUUGCACUAAACAAUGAAUCAUAUAGAUGAACUAGGUCACCUGGCAGAUAUUUCAAGAGCCUGGUACACACUCUACAAAUGAGCAAUGCAGAGAUUCACUUUCUGGAUGAGACAUCACAGAACUGCAUCAAGCAAACAGACAUCGAGUGGAAGCAUUCAGUUUGUUGAUGAAGUGGCCAAACUAUUAAUCCUGUUUCAAACUUUAAUGCUGUCCCACAGGGAUGAGAGGCCAUGUCAGAGACUGUGUGUGUGUGUGUGUGUGUGUGUGUGUGUGUGUGUGUGUGUGUGUGUGUGUGUGUGUGUGUGUGUUUGUGAGAACGUGAGAAACGAGGUUCGCCUUGUCUUUGAUGAGAUGUGUUAGGACUAAACCAUCUGUUAUAAGCGGAUCCAUGUUUCAUCAGCCUCCAAUUCCUUUCAUGAUGACAAGUGAUAAUAACUCUCCUACUUGCUUUCCUUGGAAAGGAGACUCUGUGGAGUGUUCUCCACCUCUCCCAAGUGACUCUGGUACAGCGUGUUAACUAAUAUUUGCUGGAGAAGGAGGACAUGACCUUUCCAAAAACAUGACAUCCUGUUACCAUGUACUCUACUUAGGUGUUACACGAAAAACAACUUUGCUCGUUUAUAUAAGAGCAAACCAUAUUACGCUUUUAUCCCCAGCAUGGGGAGUUUGAAAAAUGUGGGUGUUUUCAGGCAAACCAUCAAACCUUAUUGCUACAUCUAUAAACUGUGUACAUGGUUAUUGAUAAUAGAUUGAGAUGAAGCUCCUUCCCAUAAGGGGUUCAAUUCAAGAGAGGAAAAGUUGGUGCAUGAAUGAAUAUUUAUGGCUAAUGUACUGUGAAGAUCCCACAACAUUAAAUGUAGCUACAGUGGAUAAAAUGUACAAUGUGCCAUUCUUACUGUUAUCAUGCUGCAAAUAUUUUCUGCAAAAGUCUUCAGUCCUUUAGAAAUUAAUGGAAACAACAUGACCAUUCCAACUGUAAGGGGAAGCUCAUUUGAUCACUGAGGAGCCAGCAGGAGUGAGUUAUGAAGUAACAUGCAUCUGUACUUAGUAUCUAGUAUCAGAAUCAGAAUGUUUUUAUUUUAUUUGCCAAGUACAGGGUGUACAAGGAAUACUUUUUGGUGCAAGGUCACACAAUACAGUACAAUACAAUACAGUGCAAUAUAAUAUAGUGCAAUACAAUAUAAUAUAGUACAAUACAGUGCAAUACAAUACUGUAUAAUACAAUAUAAUACAGUAUAAUACAAUACAGUGCAAUACAAUACUGUAUAAUACAAUAUAAUACAGUAUAAUACAAUACAAUACAAUAUAAUACAGUACAAUACAAUACAGUGCAAUACAAUACAAUGCUACAUACUACAAUAUAAUACAAUUACAAUACAGUUCAGUACAAACCAAUAUAUGGGGCACGGUGGCUUAGGGGUUAGCAUGUUUGCCUUGCAAACAGGGGUUUGAUUCCCGCCUCCACCCUGUGCCCGCGGAGUGUGCAAGUUCUCCCCGUUCUUCGAUGGUUUCCUCCAGGUACUCUGGUUUCCACCCCCUGUCCAAAGACAUGCACUGUAGGCUCAUUGGCAUCUCUAAAUUGUCCAUAAUGUAUGAAUGGGUGUGUGAGUAUGUGUGUGAUUGUGCCCUGCAGUGGGUUGACACCCCUUCCAAGGUGUCCUCUUCCUUGUACCCCAAGUUCCCUGGGAUGGACUCCAGGCUCUUCACAACCCCGUGUAGGCAGUACAGAAAAUAGAUUGAUGGGUGUAUGGAUGGAUGGACAAUACAGUACUACAUACUAAAAUACUAUAUAAUACAAUACAAUAAAGGACAAUACAAUAGAUCUGUACAGAUAGAUUGUACACUUUGAUUCAUAUGCCCAUUGACCUUGAUCUGCUCAUAAUGCUGUAUUUUGGAUUGUGGAUAUUUGCAAUAAAUCUCCUGCAUAUGUAUCUUAAUCUUGCCCCUGAGUCUUCCUUUAUAUAAGAAGGCUCAGACUUUACUUAGCUAUAUUACUGUAAUAUACUUGCACUGUCAUUCAAAAUGCAUUUUUCUCUCCCUGUAUUUAAUUUAGACCUUCAAAUAGACUUCAUUUCAUACACUCUUUUGCCUGGCUAUUUAUAUCACAUACCUGUGAAAUUUCACUUUAUUUAUUAACUAUAUUUAAACCUUCCAUAAUGACUGUCUGUUAGUCUUGUAUGCUGGAUUGAAACUAUUUUAAUUAGAAAAAAAAAAAAAAUCAAUCUUGUUGAUAACCAUGUUCCUAAUCUGCGUAGGCAGAUUAUUUUAUCACAUAAAAUAAGCCAUGUAAAUAAUUACACAUUUGUGAAGGCAACUGUGAGACCAUGUUGAAAAUAUAUAUUCUGACUUAUCUUAAAUCAAUUUGCUCCAAAAAAUUUAACACUAAAUCAGUAAGAUGCCACCUUAUAUUCAUGCUUAUAUUGCAGAGAUUUGGUGUUUGUAUUUCUGAACCACAGUCUAAAGACAGAGUGUUAAACUUGAUUCUCGCUACAGUUACAUAUGAGAUAUGAGAGUCGUAUGAAAUAACUUGGGAGGUUAUGAAUCAGAUGAGCAGCUGAAUUCUGAAUGCUCUGUAGUAUCUGGAGAUACUACAGUAUGCAAUACUACAAGGCAUUCCCUGCUCUGAGUUAUGCACACUCUGGUGUUGUAGUGUGAACGAGGGGAGCAGUGUGUUUCAUUAUGUCCCUGUUGGCCAGUAAGUCAGCAAUAGAACUUCCCCAGUGCUCCAAAAACGCUGAACACUGGCGCAGUGAAGCAGCGUACGGGCACGCAGCCAAACGGAAAACACAGUGUAAUCUUAUAGGCAGUGGCAAAUAAGCAAAUGUUCUUGGAUAAUCCCAGAUGUCUAUGAUUGCAUGCUGGCGUAACUGUUUGGAGGAAUUCUUAGAUGUCUUAGAUGGAUAUAACCACUGACACAUACAAAAAGCACCAGGGGAAGUUAUUUUUCUUUGUACUUAAGCUUUUGAAAGCUUGUUUAUUUACAGAAGACUGGUGUGAAACAGGAGGACAGUGUCUGCCCAUAAUAUACCUCUGUAAAUUUUAGAACUAGGACAGAAUGAGGUUUUCAAUUAGACAAAGCAGAACAGUGUUUUGUUGUGUAGCAACUUAGAGUUCACUGUAAUUCAGCUUGG